AUGCACCAUCUUGUCGUGGUCGACGCCGUCACAGCGCCCAUCACCACAUCGUCCUGCCGCACGCAGCAGCCACCUCUUGACGUGGACGGCGCCUUCGCAACGCCGAUCACCACGCCAUCAUCACCUCGCGGCAUCGCACCGAAACCGGCCAUCAGCGGUACCGCACCGCUGCCAGCCAUCACCUCGCACCGACGUCCUCCACCUCACAUGGAGUCCACCGCGUCACCACCGUCGCAGCCGUUGCCUCCGCCCAGCACCACAGCGGCCACCAUAGCCGCCGGCACCGUCGUCGCCGCCACGGAUCAACCUGGCUCUGAUGCCAAUUGUUGGCGCCGCCCUCUCGCAGCGCCACUUCUUCUACCUCGAGUUGCUGCCUCUCACAGCUCCCUCUCUCUUUCUCUGGUUGUUUCUCUCAAACACAAAAGAACACCCACGCACGCACACAUGCACCAAGGGAGAAACCAGCCGCUAGCUUUGCCAAGAGGCUCUCUCCUUGGUGAAAACAAACACUACAUUGUUUCUGCCCCAGCCCUCACGGCCUCUCACCAUUACUAA
Molecule: ribosomal RNA, 555 nt
Filed under: Triticum aestivum (bread wheat)
Lineage: Eukaryota; Viridiplantae; Streptophyta; Magnoliopsida; Poales; Poaceae
Description: partial small subunit ribosomal RNA
Source: RNAcentral